RNAcentral lists this ribosomal RNA (406 nucleotides) under uncultured bacterium. RNAcentral describes it as "bacterial SSU rRNA". It matches the Rfam family "Bacterial small subunit ribosomal RNA", at positions 31 to 442 of the family's 1533-position model. The record is from RNAcentral.
GAACGCUGGCGGCGUGCUUAACACAUGCAAGUCGAACGAGAAAGCCUUCGGGUGAGUAGAGUGGCGCACGGGUGAGUAAUGCUUGGGAACAUACCAAUAGGUGGGGAAUAACAGUUGGAAACGACUGCUAAUACCGCAUAGUCUCUUCGGAGUAAAUGAGGCCUCUACUUGUAUGCUACAGCCUAUUGAUUGGCCCAAGUCGCAUUAGCUUGUUGGCGGGGUAAUGGCCCACCAAGGCUACGAUGCGUAGCUGGUCUGAGAGGAUGAUCAGCCACACUGGAACUGAGACACGGUCCAGACUCCUACGGGAGGCAGCAGUGGGGAAUAUUGCACAAUGGGCGCAAGCCUGAUGCAGCAACGCCGCGUGGGUGAAGAAGGCUCUUGGGUCGUAAAGCCCUUUCGUUAG